Molecule: long non-coding RNA, 568 nt
Organism: Haplochromis burtoni (Burton's mouthbrooder)
Lineage: Eukaryota; Metazoa; Chordata; Actinopteri; Cichliformes; Cichlidae
Exons: 2
Source: RefSeq, a predicted model, not a curated record
UCCCAGCCAGUAUAGUGUUCACUUCAAUUACAUCUUAAAGUUUAAGACAGAUCAGUAAAGUCCGACAUCAAAACACAGGAAGUUCAAUUUAAGGACACGUUAUCAAAGGAAGGUCACAAUGAUUGUUUUUCUCUUUUUCUGGUGCCUGACAGGUGUCUGUCUGGGUGUAGAGGUUGGUCAGACUCCCUCUGAGUUCAUCACAAAUGUUGGAUCCAGAGUUGAGAUUUUCUGCAGCCAUGAAAAGACUGACUACAGGGUGAUGCUCUGGUACCAGCAGCCACCCGGAGAAACAGCUAUGAAACUCAUUGGGUUUUUAAACUUCCAAGCUUUCACAUUUGACCAAGACCAAUAUAAAGAUCAUUUUGAUUUUACAGGAGAUUUGAGUGGGGAUACAGCAAAAAAUGGCUCUCUGAUAGUCAAAGUGACACAACAUGAGCACAGUGCAGUGUACUACUGUGCAGCUAGAUAUGCACAAUGACAAAAAGAUUGUCUGAACUUUACAAAAACCCCACAGCCUGGAAUCAUCAGUGGUUUGAAAAAAGAAAAUAAACUGAUUUGAGACACCUGU